Neofelis nebulosa (Clouded leopard) is the source of this 10114-nucleotide RNA transcript. It is a transcript of the gene named nuclear envelope integral membrane protein 2, with no coding region annotated. The record is from RefSeq and is a predicted model, not a curated record. NCBI's taxonomy places the organism in Eukaryota, Metazoa, Chordata, Mammalia, Carnivora, Felidae. The transcript is spliced from 15 exons.
ACCGACGGGACUGGGCCACGGCCCAAGUGCCUCAGGGGAAGACGAGGCCCGGAAGCCCCGAGGCCGGUAGGGGCCAGAAGAGGGUUACAGGGAGCCCCCAGGCCUCUACCAGCCGUCGCCCGCAGCCUAGAGCUAACUCCUCUGCCCCGGAAAGGCGGGGCCUCCGCCUUUCCCGCGUACGGGUCUCGCCGCCCCGCUCAGCCUCCUCGUAGGCCUUGCGCCAUUGCUGCUACUAUCGGCCGAACGGGGGCGCGGAGCUGGCCCCGGGGCGGGAUGCGGCCUCCCCUGGGGCGGUGGUGGCUGCUAAUCUGGCUGCAGCCCUUGUCCGCGCCGCCCGCUGGCGCGGUGCGCGGAGAGGAGGAGGUGGCGGCGGCGUUGGCAGUUCCAAGGUGUAAAGCUCUGAAGGAAAUGGAUUUAAUUAAAACUUCUGAGUCAGACUGUUACUGCUACAAUCGAAAUUCCCGAAUGGAGUGGAAAUACAUGUGGUCAACUCUGCAGGUGAAAAUUACCAGUUCAGGCCUGCUCAAUAUUGCAUAUAUCACAGGAAGACAUAAUUGUCAGUAUCCAGAAACCAUUCUAUCUUUUAUCAAAUGUGUGAUUCAUAAUUUUUGGACACCAAAGGAGUCUAAUGAAGUUACCAUAAUCAUCAAUCCAUAUGGAGAGACCAUGUGCUUCUCUGUGAAGCCUGUCAGGAAGAUAUUUAUCUAUACAAUUAGUGUGAAUCGAAACAUUGUGGAUUUCAAACUCUUCCUUGUGUUUGUAGCAGGUAUUUUCCUCUUCUUUUAUGCAAAGACCUUGAGUAGAAGUCCUAUUUUCUUUUACUCUUCUGGGACUGUGCUAGGUGUUCUAAUGACGUUAGUCUUUGUCCUGCUUCUGGUGAAAAGGUUUAUUCCUAAGUAUAGCACCUUUUGGGCUCUAAUGGUUGGUUGUUGGUUUGCUUCAGUUUAUGUUGUAUGCCAUUUGAUGGAAGAUCUGAAGUGGCUAUGGCAUGAAAACAGAAUAUAUAUAUUAGGCUAUGUUUUGGUAGCUGGAUUGCUCAGCUUUGCUGUUUGUUAUAAGCAUGGGCCCCUGGUUGAUGAAAGGAGCGUGACUCUUUUGACGUGGACACUGCGGCUCCUCGCCCUGGUUCUGAUCUAUUGUGGAGUCACCGUGCCCCAGGGCUCCUAUGCAGCUCUGAUCCUCAUCCUGGCCUCCAGGAGUCUACGCUACCCACUGAAGGCGUUCACUUAUAUGAGGUGGAAAAUGAAGAAAUGGUGGACAUCCAAGAAGCCAGUGUUUAAGUAUCUUACUGAAGAUGAAUACCGGGAACAGGCUGAUGCUGAGACAAGCAGUGCCCUGGAGGAGCUGCGUGGAGCCUGCCGCAGGCCCGACUUCCCCACGUGGCUGGUAGUCUCCAGACUCCAGGCUCCUAACAACUGGAUCUGAUCCUGGACCGACCUGGGACUUCCAGCAUAGGCAUAGGAAGCCUACCCAGUAGAAGGCAGAGCUGGUAGACGAAGAAACCCAGGUUCUGACUGCACCAUAUGAGCUCCGAUUAAAGCUACCCCUACAGGUAUCUGCUAGACUUUGCAGUUGGACAAUACAUUCCUUGUUUUCCUUAAGCCCCUUUGAGUAAGGUUUUCUGCUUCCUCAAGUGAAAAGAGUCCUAAGUGAGACAAGAUCUUAGCUACCUUGUGAGGUAGCAAGUUCCACAUCACUAGAAGCGGCCAAAGACUAAGUAACCAUCUGCCGAGGAUUAGGGGGAAAGAAAUCUAAACUGGGCUCAAGCUAAGCCUAUGUGAUGGUAUUAGUUUGCUAGCUCUACCAUAACAAAUACCUCAGACUGGGUGACUUAAACAGCAGAAUUGAUUUUCUCACAAUUCUGGAGGCUAGAAAUCUAAGAUCGAGGUAUCAGCAGUAUUAGUUUCUUCUAAGGCCUCUUUCCUUGGCUUGUAGAUGGCUGUCUUCUCCUUGUGUCCUCACAUGGUCUUUCUUCAAUGUGUGCCUGUGUCCCAAUCUCCUUUUCUCAUAAGGACACCCAUUAUAUUAGACACUGGUCUAUGCUAAUGACUUCAUUUCAACUACCUUUUAAAUUUUUUUAAAUGUUUAUUUUUGAGAAAGAGAGAGAUAGCCCAAGUGUGGGAAGGCAGAGAGCAAGGGGGACAGAGGAUCCGAAGCAGGCCCCACGCUGACAGCAGAGAGCCCAACAUGGGGCUCAAACCCACAAACCACAUGAUCAUAACCCAAGUCAAAGUCAGACGCUUAACUGACUGAGCCACCCAGGCGCCCCUUAACUACCUCUUUAAAGACCCUGUCUCCAAAUGCAGUCACAUUCUGAGGUAUUAGAGGUUAGGAGUUCAGUAUAUGAAUUUGGGGGAGGGGACACAAUUCAGGCCACAAAAAUGAUCUCCAAGGUUACUUAGAAUUCCAACAAAAUUUAGUAUAGAAUGCCGUGCUUUACUCAAGAGCUAUUUAUUCCGUGGAUCAGAAAUAAAAUGUAUGAUGCCAGUGGUAGCUGCCCUGGGCUUCUGAAGUCAGCAUGAGGCUGCACCCUUAGAAAAGAAUUGUUAGCAGUUUGUACAACCCAAUCCAACUAUAUUUAUUCAUUUAUGUUAUCUAGGGGACUGCUAUUUACUUUUCCAGUGGUUGAUGUAGAGUGAAAGGCUUUGACAAACAGUGCUAAUUAAUACGUUUUUACAACAGGCAGCAUGGUGGGGCCUAGGCUGCACCUUGUCUGAAGUGAUGUCAUCCAGGGCACAGACAUACUGGCAGUAGACUUUUCUCAGGAAUGGUCAUAACUGCCUUCACUAGCAUUAAAUAAAAUGCAAAUAAAAUAAAAUGCAAACAUCUCAGCAAGGGCAGCCAAGUCUUUUACAAAUUCUGAGCCAGUACAUGGAUAAAUGUUCAAGUUUUAUAGUUCUAACUUCCAUUCAAAUCUACUGGCCUUCCAGAAAGAAAAUCCUCUAUACAGAUCCACUAUCAUAAAUCACAUUGCCCAUCUCUGACCAGACAGUCUGUUGUCACGGCAUCGCCUGGAUGAAUUUGCAUGAAUGGCAGUGUGCACAUUUCUGAUUUCUCAGCAAAACCCAUUCAGAGUCUGAGUCCUUGCAGGGGUGGGCAGGGAGCAGUGAGGUCUGAUGUGUGGUUUUUCACAUACUAAAACCAACCACAGUAGAAAGUUAGAUCAUUAGAGUCAGAACUCAAAGAAGCCACAGCCAUUAAGUCCAACCGUCUUAUAAAGACAAGGAAAUAGAGGUCCAGACAGGCAGAAUGGGGGCCUCAAAAUCCAUUAGCCAGUGAAAGUCAAGGUCCCUGCUCCCUUGCCCUUUGGCUCUUUUGGUAGAUAAUAACAAUGUGCUGUGUUCCUACUCCAGGGUUCCUACAUGAAGUCAGACCUAGACUUCUUCACAGGGCCUGAAGAAACGCCUGUGGAUUGGACCAGUAACGACAGGGCCUGGUGACGCUAGUGUGGUUAUGCCUAUGGUAUGGUAUGGUUACCAUACCAUAGCUAUGGUAACAGCUAUGCGUUUGGAUCAAGGAAGUGGGAUAUAUGUUUGAGUUGACUUUAGAAGACAGUUAACAUUUUAAACUUUGAUGAAUCAUUAAGAGGAAUGGCAUAAGAGGAAAGUAGUAAAGCAAAUGCCAGUCAACAGCUGCCCAAUAUCCUGGAUCAAAAAAGAAAAGUUAAGAGGAAAAUUUUGUUAUGAGAUAAAAUGGGUCAAAAACCUAUUUCUCCUGAGGUAGCCCGAGAAAGUUCAGGUGUCAAUGCUAAGGCAGCACACAAGGUGAGCCAGGAUUUCUGUCCCCAAGCAGACAGACUUUGAAACCAAAUAAUCAGAAAUUGACUAUCUGGCUUGGGCUGGGUAAGGAACAGAAAUUAGGGAGGGGCACCCCCCCCACACACACACACACCCCUAACAGGAUUGUAAGGGGAGAGCAAAGACAGGGGCUAAGAGUCUCCAUCUUGUGUAGGUCCAACCGACUCAGGCUGUGUUCAUCAACACUUCAGGUCUCUAGACCCGCCUGGGAGGUCUUUGAGAUGGGCUUAGCCCACCAGGGGGUUGAAAGUUGCCCGGAUCUUUUCCUUUCCUUGAUCCCUAAAGUAGCUCCACAGAACCCACUGUGAAGAGUCAACUACUCUACGUACCAACACUGAAUUUGAGCUAUCUCCCUCUCUUUCUCUCUUUCUUGAACUUUCACUAGCUUUCAGACUUAAUUCAAUGUAAUCCCAACUCACAAUGCUAAACACUUUCCCUGAAGUGAAAAUUAGGUUAUGGGUUUUUCAAGAAAGAACAAAAAAAUACAAUUUCAGUAAACUCCUGCCCCAAACUUGUCAAUUAAUACAUUUUUAUGACUAGAAAUUUUGUUCCAUUCUUUUUCAAAAUAGGAAACUGUAACUGAAUAUUAGAUUCUGUCCAAACCCACUCCUCUUCCCCCUCUUUUGUGACAUUAAGGAAAAAAGACCAUCAACCUCAGUGGCCUUGAGACCUCUGCUUACUGCAGGCCCCUCACCAUGCCUAACCCUUCAUACUAGUGUUUCUAUAAUGUUCUCCAAUUCUUUAGCAUUUUUCCCACUUACUAUCUCAUUUGUUCCUGCCAAUAAUCUUCUGAAAUAGGAAGGGCAAGAGUUCUCAUGAAUCCUAUUUUGCAGCUAAAGAAAUCAAGGCCCUGAAAGGUGAACCAAGUUGCCAGAGUCACAAAACUAAACAAAUCUCAGAACCAAGACUCAACUUGAGGACUUCUGCUGUCAAAUCCUACACCCUUCCCAUAGUCAGCAGAUCUCCUCCACCCUGACCAUGAGGAUUUGAGGCAAACAGAGAAAUUGAAAGGGUACUCUUUUACACACACACACACACACACACACACACACCAAUGACCAUUCUACCUUAAAAAUCUUGUUUCACAAAAAUUUGCUGUGAUAUUCUACUUGCAUUUGAAACAUACUAGAUUUCUAACAAAAUCUUGUUGAUAGAACUAAGAAUAACUUAAUAGUAAUAACUUAGUAGUAACGAAAGAGUAUUCAUAAUUAAGAGUAACUUGGUUAAGAGUAAUCAAGUAAUAAUGAAACUAGUCUUCAUCUACUUUGAUGGAUGCCAACAUUAUUAUCUGAUUCACUGAAAAGAGUAUGGGAUCUACCAGCCAGAGACCUGGGCUGAGUCCCCACCCCACCAUUCAGAAGGGCAGACCUUGGGCAAUCAUAGCAAAUCUGUUCCUUCUUAGUCAUGCAUGGUGGAUCUGCCCAUCCAACCAAUGUAAACGCCACCAGGAAUGGAGUACACAUGCAGAAAAAGAAGUUUACCACUGCUUGACUCACUCUCACAGUCAUCCCAAUGUUAAGCCACACAUCACUCCUACUCCAGUAUCCUCUGACUCUUAGAAUCUUUGGGAAUCCCAGCCCUCUCUAACCUUCUCAGGCUCUCCUUGCUCUGUUAGGACAUAGUCCAUAUGAUAGCCUUAGUCACCUCAGGCUAUCAUAACAAAAUACUACAGAAUGGGUGGCUUAAACAAGAGAAAUCUAUUUUCUAACAGUUCUGGAACAUGGAAAUCUGAGAACAGGGUGCCAGCACUGUUGGAUUCUGCUGAAAACCCUCUUCUUGACUUGCAGAUGGCCACCUUCUCACUGUGUCCUGCCAUGGUGGAGAGAAAGAGCCAGAGCAAGCUCUCUAGUGUCUCUUCUUAUAAGGGUACUAAUCCCAUCAUGAAGCCCCCACCCUCAUGAUUUCAUAUAACCUUAGUCACCUCCCAAAGGCCCCAUCUCCAAAUACCAUCACACUCGGGGUUAGGGCUUCAACACAUGGAUUUCAGGGUGGACACAAUUCAGUCCAUAGCAACAGGACUCUCUGUUCUUUUUUUUUUUUUUAAUUUUUUUUUUUAAGGUUUAUUUAUUUUUGAGACAGAAAGAGACAGAGCAUGAGCAGGGGAGGGUCAGAGAGAGAGGGAGACACAGAAUCUGAAACCGACUCCGGGCUCCGAGCUGUCAGCACGGAGCCCGACGCAGGGCUCGAACUCACGGACCGUGAGAUCAUGACCUGAGCCGAAGUCAGACGCUCAACCGACUGAGCCACCCAGGCGCCCCUGGGCUUCUCUGUUCUUAAUACCCAUGUUCUCUGACACAAUUAGGAACCUACCCUGGGGCUCCAUGAACCCUGGCUGCAGGUUCUCAGGUGCUCCACCCCAGGCCCCCAGGGAGUCAACAUGUCUUUUCCACCAAUGGAGAUUAUCCGGCUCUCAUCAAGCCACUGUAAAAUGAAUAUAACAAAACUUAACUGUUUUGUCAAGUGGCUAUAACAAUAAAAAUAUUUAUGAAAACUGUAUAAAUUGUAAAGCCUACAAUAUUAUUUCCAUUUAUUUUUAUUGGUGAUCUAGAAAUUAGAAAUGGAAAUAAUGAUUUUCUAAUGUAGUCUAAUUAGGAAACUGAGAAUAAAAUGGUUCCCUCUAAAAGAUACAAGAAUCUGUGGAAUAAAGUAUAUUCCAGUUAUCAGUGGCAUUCCUCAGUUAAGGCAAUAAAAAAUAAUUUUACCUUCAGGCAUGUGUAUUAAAAAAUAGUAAUUGAUUUGUUUGCUGGUCUUGGUUUGCUUUCUUAGUUUAAAUUGCACUUAUCAAGUAAGCCCUAAGCACAAAAAAUCACACCUAAGCCAUUAGGCUAUUUGGGGCAUCAUAUUCCCUCCAGUACUAUGUUUCUCCAGUCCCAUGGAAAUGCAGGGGCCACCAUUCCUAAGGGUUAAUAGUGGCUCACUCUAGGAUGAAGGCCUUGAGUUAUGAGUGAAUAACAUCAAGAGAACAUUAGAGAAAUAAUCAUCAAGACUUCAGGUUCUGACUUUAGGAUAUAAUUUUCAUCCCCAUCUUAGAAGCACUACGUUUGCCUCUUUUCAAUAGUCCUGCUCUAUGGUAGGCACUGCUUCCAGAAGUAACACUGAUAGUAACACGUUCCUUAUUUGGGGUAAAUGGUUUCCCAAAAUGGAUCUACUAGCUGAAGGGAGGUAGAGAAGGAAGAUGGUUACAGAAAACUGAAAUCAUGGGAUGGAGCUAGUUGUCCUACUUACAUGCCAGUCAGUGUUCCCCAAAAGACCUCUCUCCAGCCUCCUCCUCUCUUCCAAGAUCUAGACUUACAAAUACAACAGUGGGCAUCUCCACUGUCUCAGAGGCUUCACACAAGGUCCAUACUCCAGUAUCCUCUCCCCGCCUCCCUGGGUUCCCUUCCUUGGUGGGUAGCACCACCACCUAUGUGGUAUCUAGCUCACAAAAUAACUUCUCCCUUGCUCCAGCUACAGUAAAUCCUGCCCAAAAGAACUUUCAGUUUUACUUGCUUUAUUCUUUUCCCAUUCCCAAUGUCUUAGGUGCUUAAGUUAACAUUUCCGUAGCACCCAACACUUUUGUUUGUUUUAUGGUCUUCCACACUAUGUGAGCCCCCAUGAUAGAGGUGCUGUGUCUAUCUUGUUCAACAUUGUAUCCUAGAACAGGAUCUGGUCUUUAAUAAAGCCUUCUUUUAAAAAAACAUUGAGUGAACAUAAUAUUUGUGAAUUAACUCUAUAUGAUACACAGCCAUCAUGAGAAACAUUAGUUUUUUCCACUUAUAUUCAGUGUGAGUUUUAUAUUACUCUGAUCCUCACACUACUGAAAGGCAGCUAAUCUGGAGAAAUGUGACUUUCAUCGGGGGUAAAAGGAAUAAUUUGAGAGAAUGGGGCAUUUUAGAGGAAUGGAGGUCUUACCAGGAAGAUAAAGGAAGGUACUUGAAACAGGUGAAAAAAUUGUACUGACACUGGUCAUCCACAACAGAAAAGAAGAAGACUGAGAGGUAAGACUGGGUUGCAUAAAGGGGCAAUACUUGCCACUCUAAGUCUGUGCCCAUGAAUCUAUAAAGUAGCUGAGAUCAUGAGCUUUGGGACCUGAAUGGCUUGGGUUUGGAUCUUACCUCUGCUGUUAACUAACUGUGUCACCACGGGCAACUUUUUAACUACUCUGAACCUUUCCUCUUUGAAAUAGACCUACCAAUGCUUAACUCACAAGGCCACUAAAAGAGUUAAAUGAGGGUGUGGCAUAGAGUAUUUAGCACAUGCCUUCGUAAGCACUUUUCUAUAAUAAGCACUCAAAUGGUAGCAUACCAACUAUUAUUAUUUUUGUAGUAUCAUCCUAUAAUUAUAUUUUUGUUAAAGUUGGAGAUUUUUAAAUGUUUAAUGUUUAUUUUUUGUUUAUGCUCUAGAUUGCAUGGCUAUUCUGAAUUGUGAAGUUGCUAAAAAAAAAAAAAAAGAAAGAAAGGAAAAAAAGAGAAGAAAAAGAAAACCCCACAAAAACUCAAAACCUUCAUCUGGAUUGGUGGAGGGCAUUAAAUCAACAAAGGUAGUGCAUGGAUUACCAGUUUAUGACUCAAGAAGAAAACAACUUAUAAUUUCUCUGUAACUCAGAGACUGAAGUAAAUUGGGACCCUUCUAAAGUAGAACAAGAUUACUAUUCAGAGAUGCUAUUUUCAGCAGAGAAAAGGUGAAGAAAAGACGCUUACUACUUCAGCAAUAAGAACGGAGCAGUAUUCUUCCUUCCAGUUGGAAAGGCUUUGGACAGCAGUGGGCACGGAUGGAAUCCCAGCCACUCGCUUCCUCCAGAGUGACAGUUCCAACCUGUGGGAGCCAUGGAGUCUUUGCCAGAAGUCUUUGAAAGCAUUAAAACGAAUGGGCCAUGCCUAUGCCUUCUACUCAUUUUUGGAUGUACACUGAUGCUACCAUCAUGCACUUAUUUCUCUGCCUUCCUUGUGUUGUUGGUGGGGUUACAAGGACCAUCACUGAGGUGCAACAAGGGGACUUGCCAGAUAGGAGAUGCCUGGUGCCAGAGCCAACAUAUGCUUUCUGUACUGAGGCACAGGAACCAGGUGUCUGGCCACCGUUCCUGCUCACCAUUUAGCCUGACCAGUAGCUAUGGCUUUUAACUGCAUUUGUCAGGCAAAGAACAAGUGGAAGCCAUGCAGGAGCUUCGGCAUCACAAGAUGCUCUAGACCCAUCUCACUUAUUCCAGCACUAGAACCAACUUCUCCAAAGAGCUGUCUUUUUGUUGAAGGAUGGUGUUUAGAAACCAACUGAUUGUGGCCAUUAUAACUGGGAUAUCACUGCUUCUAGGCCCUAUCAGUGGACGGAGUAGGAAAUAUCCUGUUGUCUUAGACCAUGAGAAGAAGGGCCGUAGUCUAAAGAUGGAAGGAGUCCGAGUCCCUGAGGACAUUGGGGUAGAGCCACCAUUCAGCUUACCCAACCGCUUUCAUCGUAAUUGAAGCCACCGUUAUUUUGUCAUUUUGCCACUCAUAGUUAAGGUUAAUGCUUACUGAUAUAAAGUAUUCCUGUAGGCUUAGCUUGGCUGGACUUCUUCCGGUCAGAAGGGCCAUCUUAAAGACUUUAUACAUAGAUGCAAAAGUCUGUUUUUAUACUCCCAUCAUUAUAACAUAGCAGAAAGCCCUUUACAAUAUAUAUGUCUCUUGGCAUUUUAAAAUCUCAUGCAGGGAACCAGGGCAGAAGAUUGGUAACAUACGAAGUGUAUUAAAAGGCAAUGAUCUUUAGGACCCUCCUCAAUGUGGGAGCCAGUCCUUAAGAAUAGUUGGGCUGAGUUAGGGGUGACGGUACGAGGAAGCAAGUGGCUGGUAGAGGGUAACAGGUGAGAGGCAUCUGUGGAAAAUGUUCUAAAAAGAAAAUCUUGAAAAAUAAUUAGCUUAACUAAUUUAGCUUUUUAAAUGUAAGCAAAAUAUCUAGUUAGGAGGAAAAGACCGUGUUAUGCCAUGGCAUCUAGGGAUACACAAAUUUGCUUAUUAUCUUAAAUAAAAGAAUGCAAGUAAAUAUCUAACACAGCACUUGGAAUCUAGCGAUCAAUGUGUUAACUGCUAAUAUAGUAUUGUUACUAUAUUAAAACAAAAGAAUUAAGCUGCCCAGAGACUGCUCUUACUGUGGUGCAGUAGAGGAAGCCCUCUUGUUAUCACCAUCCAUCUAAGUGACCUGGCCCAUUAGUCUCUAUUCAUUAACCAACUGAAUUGCUGACUGAAUAAAGUGAGGUCUCUCCUUUAACUUACUGUUUAACUUUUAACUUAUGUCUUGUUUCCUGGUAAUUUUUAGGUUGACUGCAUCAUAUAGGAAUAAUAAAAGUAUUAGUAGCUUGUUUUAUUGAG